UACAGAGGGUGUACAGCGUUAAUCGGAGUUACUGGGCGUAAAGGGCGCGUAGGCGGUUUGAUAAGUAAGAUUUGAAAUCCCCGGGCGUAACCUGGGAACUGGAUCUUAAACUGUUGGACUAGAGUGCAGUAGAGGGUGGUGGAAUUUCCGGUGUAGCGGUGAAAUGCGUAGAGAUCGGAAGGAACAUCAGUGGCGAAGGCGACCACCUGGACUGAAACUGACGCUGAGG
Molecule: ribosomal RNA, 229 nt
Filed under: uncultured bacterium
Lineage: Bacteria
Description: partial 16S ribosomal RNA
Rfam family: Bacterial small subunit ribosomal RNA
Source: RNAcentral